GUCCACGCCCUAACGAUGAUUACUCGACAUUAGCGAUAUUACUGUUAGUGUCUAAGCGAAGCAUUAAGUAAUCCACCUGGGAAGUACGACCGCAAGGUUGAACUCAAAGGAAUUGGCGGGUCCGCACAAGUGGUGGAGCAUGUGGUUUAAUUCGAUGAUACGCGAGGAACCUUACCUGUGCUAGAAUGCAUUUUGACCGCAGGUGAAAGCCUGUUUGUAGCAAUACACAAUUUGUAAGGUGCUGCAUGGCUGUCGU
RNAcentral lists this ribosomal RNA (256 nucleotides) under uncultured bacterium. Its description in RNAcentral is "partial 16S ribosomal RNA". It matches the Rfam family "Bacterial small subunit ribosomal RNA", at positions 793 to 1055 of the family's 1533-position model. The record is from RNAcentral.